Molecule: ribosomal RNA, 239 nt
Filed under: uncultured bacterium
Lineage: Bacteria
Description: partial 16S ribosomal RNA
Rfam family: Bacterial small subunit ribosomal RNA
Source: RNAcentral
CCGGCAAACGGGUGCGGAACACGUACACAACUUUCCUUUAAGUGGGGGAUAGCCCAGAGAAAUUUGGAUUAAUACCCCGUAAUAUUAUGAAGUGGCAUCAUUUUAUAAUUAUAGCUCCGGCGCUUGAAGAUGGGUGUGCGGCUGAUUAGGUAGUUGGCGGGGUAACGGCCCACCAAGCCUACGAUCAGUAACUGGUGUGAGAGCACGACCAGUCACACGGGCACUGAGACACGGGCCAG